RNAcentral lists this ribosomal RNA (697 nucleotides) under Irpex lacteus. Its description in RNAcentral is "eukaryotic LSU rRNA". The stretch from base 274 to 427 matches the Rfam family "5.8S ribosomal RNA". Lineage: Eukaryota; Fungi; Basidiomycota; Agaricomycetes; Polyporales; Irpicaceae. The record is from RNAcentral.
GGAAGUAAAAGUCGUAACAAGGUUUCCGUAGGUGAACCUGCGGAAGGAUCAUUAUCGAGUUUUGAACGGGUUGUCGCUGGCCUCUCACGAGGCAUGUGCACGCCUGGCUCAUCCACUCUUAACCUCUGUGCACUUUAUGUAAGAGAAAAAAAUGGUGGAAGCUUCCAGGAUCUCGCGAGAGGUCUUCGGUUGAACAAGCCGUUUUUCUUUCUUAUGUUUUACUACAAACGCUUCAGUUAUGGAAUGUCAACUGUGUAUAACACAUUUAUAUACAACUUUCAGCAACGGAUCUCUUGGCUCUCGCAUCGAUGAAGAACGCAGCGAAAUGCGAUAAGUAAUGUGAAUUGCAGAAUUCAGUGAAUCAUCGAAUCUUUGAACGCACCUUGCACUCCUUGGUAUUCCGAGGAGUAUGCCUGUUUGAGUCUCAUGGUAUUCUCAACCCCUAAAUUUUUGUAAUGAAGGUUUAGCGGGCUUGGACUUGGAGGUUGUGUCGGCCCUUGUCGGUCGACUCCUCUGAAAUGCAUUAGCGUGAAUCUUACGGAUCGCCUUCAGUGUGAUAAUUAUCUGCGCUGUGGUGUUGAAGUAUUUAUGGUGUUCAUGCUUCGAACCGUCUCCUUGCCGAGACAAUCAUUUGACAAUCUGAGCUCAAAUCAGGUAGGACUACCCGCUGAACUUAAGCAUAUCAAUAAGCGGAGGA